Molecule: ribosomal RNA, 381 nt
Filed under: uncultured marine Chaetocerotaceae
Lineage: Eukaryota; Bacillariophyta; Thalassiosirophyceae; Chaetocerotales; Chaetocerotaceae
Description: SSU rRNA
Rfam family: Eukaryotic small subunit ribosomal RNA
Source: RNAcentral
AGCUCCAAUAGCGUAUAUUAAAGUUGCUGCAGUUAAAAAGCUCGUAGUUGCAUUUCCGAGGCAAGGGGUUAGUCCGACCUUUGGUGGGUAUUUAAUCCUCUUGCCUCGUCCUUGAGUGGUGCUUCUUGGUAUUAAGUUAUCGAGGAGAUAGCCGCUCAUCGUUUACUGUGAGAAAAUUAGAGUGUUCAAAGCAGGCUUAUGCCGUUGAAUAUAUUAGCAUGGAAUAAUAAGAUAGGACCUCGGUACUAUUUUGUGGGUUUGAGAACCAAGGUAAUGAUGAAUAGGGACAGUUGGGGGUAUUCGUAUUCAGUUGUCAGAGGUGAAAUUCUUAGAUUUACGGAAGACGAACUACUGCGAAAGCAUUUACCAAGGAUGUUUUCA